UAGUCUCGCACAGAUGCAUAUCAAUAAGCGGAGGAAAAGAAACUAACAAGGAUUCCCUUAGUAACGGCGAGUGAAGCGGGAAGAGCUCAAAUUUGAAAUCUUCAAGGUUUUACCUUGACGAAUUGUAGUUUAAAGAAGUGUUUUCUGUUGAAGUUUUGGUAAAAGUUCUUUGGAAUAGGACAUCAUAGAGGGUGAGAAUCCCGUAUUUGACCAUUAUUUUCAGCUGUGUGAUACACUUUCAAAGAGUCGGAUUGUUUGGGAAUGCAGUCCAAAAUGGGUGGUAAAUUUCAUCUAAAGCUAAAUAUUGGCGAGAGACCGAUAGCGAACAAGUACCGUGAGGGAAAGAUGAAAAGAACUUUGAAAAGAGAGUUAAACAGUACGUGAGAUUGUCAAAAGGGAAGCGUUUGACACCAGUGUUGUUUUCUCGAAAAUCAAUUAAAAAGAGUUUGAUUUUGUUGUGUAUUGACCUUAACAGCUUGCAUUUCAAUUUUCUUGCUUUUUUUAAUGCACUUUUCGUUUAACAAGUCAACAUCAGUUUCUUUUGUUGUAAAAAGGUCAUUGGAAGGUGGCUUUCUUUUCGGAGAAAGUGUUUAUAGCCUUUGACUCCUGCAAUCGGAGAGACUGAGGUCUGCAGCGUAGAUCCUUCGGGGUUAGAUACAUUUGUGCUAAGUUAUAGCAUUUUAUAGACAACUUGUUGACUAUGAUUUGUCUUGUAGCUUACUCGCUUAUGUUAUUUUACCUACGCUUAGGAUGUUGAGCGCAUGUCUCUCUCU
This 773-nucleotide ribosomal RNA is filed under the name uncultured Neocallimastigales. RNAcentral's name for it is "partial large subunit ribosomal RNA". It matches the Rfam family "Eukaryotic large subunit ribosomal RNA", at positions 24 to 616 of the family's 3401-position model. Lineage: Eukaryota; Fungi; Neocallimastigomycota; Neocallimastigomycetes; Neocallimastigales. The record is from RNAcentral.